This 231-nucleotide unclassified non-coding RNA is filed under the name plant metagenome. Its description in RNAcentral is "partial contains small subunit ribosomal RNA, internal transcribed spacer 1, and 5.8S ribosomal RNA". The record is from RNAcentral.
UCUCCGUUGGUGAACCAGCGGAGGGAUCAUUACAGAGUUGCAAAACUCCCAAACCAUUGUGAACGUUACCUAUCCCGUUGCUUCGGCGGGCGGCCCGGGCCCCGCGCCCGGCGCCCCCCGGCCCCCCGUGGGCGCCCGCCGGAGGUAAACCGAACCCUUGAAUUGCAUGGCCUCUCUGAGUCUUCUGUACUGAAUAAGUCAAAACUUUCAACAACGGAUCUCUUGGUUCUG